This 256-nucleotide ribosomal RNA is filed under the name uncultured archaeon. Its description in RNAcentral is "partial 16S ribosomal RNA". It matches the Rfam family "Bacterial small subunit ribosomal RNA", at positions 521 to 776 of the family's 1533-position model. The record is from RNAcentral.
UAAUACGGAGGGUGCAAGCGUUGUCCGGAUUUAUUGGGUUUAAAGGGUGCGUAGGCGGCCUUUUAAGUCAGCGGUGAAAGACCCCGGCUCAACCGGGGCAGUGCCGUUGAUACUGGAAGGCUUGAGUGUUGGAGGGGUACAUGGAAUUGAUGGUGUAGCGGUGAAAUGCAUAGAUACCAUCAGGAACACCGAUAGCGAAGGCAUUGUACUGGCCAACAACUGACGCUGAGGCACGAAAGCAUGGGUAGCGAACAGG